RNAcentral lists this ribosomal RNA (379 nucleotides) under uncultured eukaryote. RNAcentral's name for it is "partial 18S ribosomal RNA". It matches the Rfam family "Eukaryotic small subunit ribosomal RNA", at positions 592 to 976 of the family's 1831-position model. The record is from RNAcentral.
CAAUAGCGUAUAUUAAAGUUGUUGCGGUAAAAAAGCUCGUAGUUGGAUUUCUGUUGAGAGCGACCGGUCCAUACCAUGUAUGCGUAUCUGGCUUGCUCUCGGCAUCCUCUCGAUAGACGUUACUGCGCUUGAUUGCGUGGUGCGGAUCUCGGGACUUUUACUUUGAGGAAAUUAGAGUGUUCACGGCAGGCUUUCGCCAGAAUACAUUAGCAUGGAAUAAUACUAUAGGAUCUUGGUUCUAUUUUGUUGGUUUCUAGAAUUGAGAUAAUGAUUAAUAGGGACAAUUGGGGGUAUUCGUAUCAACACGUCAGAGGUGGAAUUCUUGGAUUGUGUUGCGACGAACUACUGCGAAAGCAUUUGCCAAGGAUGUUUUCAUUGA